RNAcentral lists this ribosomal RNA (484 nucleotides) under uncultured bacterium. RNAcentral describes it as "partial 16S ribosomal RNA". It matches the Rfam family "Bacterial small subunit ribosomal RNA", at positions 30 to 507 of the family's 1533-position model. The record is from RNAcentral.
AUUGAACGCUGGCGGAAUGCUUUACACAUGCAAGUCGAGCGGCAGCACGGGGGCAACCCUGGUGGCGAGCGGCGAACGGGUGAGUAAUACAUCGGAACAUGCCCAGUCGUGGGGGAUAACACUUCGAAAGAAGUGCUAAUACCGCAUACGUCCUGAGGGGGAAAGCGGGGGAUCGCAAGACCUCGCGCGAUUGGAGUGGCCGAUGUCAGAUUAGCUAGUUGGUGGGGUAAAGGCCUACCAAGGCAACGAUCUGUAGCUGGUCUGAGAGGAUGAUCAGCCACACUGGGACUGAGACACGGCCCAGACUCCUACGGGAGGCAGCAGUGGGGAAUUUUAGACAAUGGGGGCAACCCUGAUCCAGCCAUUCCGCGUGAGUGAAGAAGGCCUUCGGGUUGUAAAGCUCUUUCGGCAGGAACGAAACGGUGAGCUCUAACAUAGCUUGCUAAUGACGGUACCUGAAGAAGAAGCACCGGCUAACUACGUG